Long non-coding RNA from Ochotona curzoniae (black-lipped pika), 4201 nucleotides. RefSeq lists it as uncharacterized. The transcript is spliced from 2 exons. Lineage: Eukaryota; Metazoa; Chordata; Mammalia; Lagomorpha; Ochotonidae. The record is from RefSeq and is a predicted model, not a curated record.
AAGAGUGAGGGGAAAAAAAAAAGUUUUUUGCUCCAGGUUCAGGAGGUUGCAAGUGCUUUAGCUUAUUGUCAAAGCUGCAAGUUUUGCUUUAAAAAGAAAUUCCAACUUAAAGGAAAGAAAACAAUUUCCCAGUGAUGAUGUAGGUGUCGUAGUUGUCUUGUUGGCUGCCGGAAGUGGCUGGGUAGAGCUACUCUCAGAAAGCAGGUACAUGCGCAGGUUGUAUGAUUGCGUAUUUCUGGUAUGACAGUGCUUUAUGCCUAAACAAUUUAAAAAAAUGCAUCAGAGUCCAGUAUGUAAAACUGAUUUAAAAAUAGGACUCAAAUUGCAGAUCCUUCCUCAAGUAUAAUUUGCUAACUGUUGUGCUGAGUCCUGUCUUAAUCAUCAAAGCGCAUUCUAGCUGGCAGAUGGAACGAACUAGAAUGCAUCAAGAAUUGAGAGGACACGGUGCUUGACCAGUCACAGCACGUGCCAUAAGUCUAUAGCCAAAGCGUGUCAGUGGGUCUCCAUCAGGGGCAGUAAAUCUUUUUUUCAGAAGGGUGUUGGGAAAUGAAGUGGCACUCUUUGGGUUGUCAUACUUCUAGAACGUUCUAACAGCCAAAAGACUCCCACCCCUGCAGUGUCUAUGUUCCCCUGGCACAAUGAAUAAUUAACCCUUCUAGAAUGUCAGUUGACCCCGAUGUAGACUGACUGAUUUCAAGGGACAUGGCAAAUUACCGGUAGAAUGAAACGAGAAGGGCAAGUGGGCAAAUAGGAGACAAAUUCCAAAUUCAGGUCUGCGUGGUAAGGUACAAGGAAAGCUUUGGUAAGUUCCAAUAGCUCACAGUACCCCUUAUAUAUCAGUAAGCAACAUUGUGCUAAAGAGCUGUUUCCUGUUGUACAUAGAACAAGCUUGUAUACUGACAAAAUAUUUAUCAAGACUGUCAGGAUGAGAUUUAAAACAGAAGAGGAAUCUACCGGUAGUUUCCCAGUAGCUUUAAGUAUUUUUCUUCCCUCCUUUUCUCACAGUUUUAUUUUUUGUAAGAAAGAAGACUUGAGAGCAGUUUUGCUUUUUCACCCCAGUGCUUUCAAGUGCGCAUUGUACAUUUGUGACGUUCUGGUAUGUUUUACUUACAGUGAUAAUCGGAUUCAUUCACGAUGUUAGAAAUGGAAGCCAAGGAUUUUAAAAAUUUGCUCUCAGCAAUAGAAAAUUUGCUCCGAAUUAGUCUUCUUUGUAAAAAGCUUUCGAAAGUGUGGUAUUUUACUGUUUUCUGUAUUUCUGUUAACUGCAUGGCAGUCUUAUUUUUUUUUUUAUUAUAAAUACAGUUAUUACUGGUCAUGUGGUAUCAGUGAAUAUAGUCAAGUACUCAUUUUUGUGGGGGGAGGGCGGGGAGAGAGCUCUGCCCUUAGCAGAUGCUUUCCUGUUUUUUGAAAUAUCUGUAUUUCCAGUUUCUCAUAUUGCCAUCUAAACUGGUCUGCCUGGCUCAGUAUUCUUGGAAUGCCUGGUGACUUUGGCUUUGAGGAGGUAACCAUCUACGCUCUCACUGUCCUGGCAGGUACCUCUUGCCUUAGGUUGGUUUUGCGCGUUGGCUUGUUCACGGCUGCCUUCCGUCAGCUCCUCCACCUGACCUGGUCUCCCCGGCAUCCGCUUCCAUCCAUGAAAAUGGCUCGUCAAUUCCUCUCUUCUGCCUCUCUCUCUCUCUCUCUCAUUCACCAAUCUCAUCGAGUCCAUUUUGCUGUCUCACAGGCACCACCACCUAACUUGCUGCUUCUCUCGCGUCCCCUCUUGGAGUAGAUGGCACUGCUGUCAGCCACUCGGCUGGCCUUGGCCUGCCACAACAACUUGGUUAUCUGUGACUUCUGCCAACUCUACGGUGUGUUAUCCUGCUUACUUCCAAACUCUCGAGCUAACCUAACUUAGUCUCCUCCGUAGUCUCUCUCUCCUGUGGAUUCCUUGUCUGUACUGUAGCCACAUUGUUUCCCCGAAGACCCAUCUGGGCACUCCAUCACAUUCACCAUUUCUGUUAUUCUGUCAGGUACUAAUGCCAUUUCACCCAAGAAUCUUUCAUUUAUGCCUUCUGGCAGACCCAUCGAGUAGGCCAGGUGCCCUUCCUGUGGAUCCCGUGGACACCCUGCUCCUCCCCAACCACAUACUUGGGACAUUUAUCAUGAUUACUUGCUGAUCCCUGCUAGACUGUAAACUUUACAAGGACAGGGACCACACAAUCCUUGCUCAUUUGUAUCUCUGGUGCUUAGCUCAAUGCUUCACAUUUCACUACAUAUGUGAAUAAGUAAGUAUUCGUGCAGUAUUCUCUGAUCUUUGACAUUUGCGAUCCCAUUUGACCUGUAUAGUCUUCUUUGCUUAGAUUGUACAACGGGUGAUUGUGAUCCACAUGUUACAGGUUAGGAAGUGAAGCCCGGUUCUUUGUGACUAGAUAUCUUACUUUCUGUUCUCAUAGUGUAGUGUUGUGCUUGGCAUGUGACUCAAAUAUUUAAGAUGUCAGUGGUCAAUAAAUUGAGAUUGCAGUUUUCCAUAGUAAACAUUAGUAAAGUCAAGAUUCAAACCCAGGUGAACUUAGGUGAGUCCGUUGUGCAAUAUUAAGUUUGUACAUCCAUGAGGUUGUAGGUAUUUUAUUUUUCCAAAGGCAGAAUUCUAAAGAAACUAACAUAGAAAACAAAAAGAUAAGACCUAUUUAAUGAACCAAGACGGUACUUCAGUCAUUAAAAAGUUGCAUUCCGUAUCAGACAAACAUGAUGCUUAAAGAGUUAAUAUACACUUUUCCUUUUGUAGGCGUCCACCCUAGGAGAAAAUGGCAUGCUAUUUACUUCCUCCUUUCUUUACAGAUGGUUUCUGACUUCUGGGAUUUAAAAGGAUCAAAGAGUUGGACUUGGUCUGGGGCACAUGAAUUCAUGCAAGAUGUCUUAACAGUAGAUGUGAUAGUCCUGCGGCACUUUGAUCCUUGCUACAAAAAAAAAGUGUAGUCAGCCUUCAAGGAAUUACUUUUACCUUUUUGUAAUUGAAAAAUUGCCUCAUGCUACCCAGUAAGUACUUAAGUUGGUGAGUUUUCUACCACCUUUCAUUUCUUGCUGCAAGCUGACAGUUCUUUUCUCAGCUCAUCAUCUGCCAUACAUUUUGUCAAACGCAGUCAACUGGAACCACAGAGUUGGUUUAUUUGUUUUGUUUUCUAUAGUCAAGGGCAGAUGAUUUGGCAUAGAGUUUCUAUCAAGGGACAAUUUUGCCUCUCCAAAAUGUGAAUUUCCUACAAAAUUUUCCAUCUUCGAAUAGCAGUUUCCUAAAAUUGCCUCUCAGCUAACCAACUAAGCCAAUUUUAAGUAUUUUAGGUCUUUUUUUAAUAGCCAGUUUCUGUGUGCAGAUGGGCUGGUGUGCCAUGGGCCAGCGACUGUACACCCUUCGUUGGAACUUAGCAGAGAUGCCUUCCUCCACAUGGGUAAACUAGAGCUGGUGGGGACAGUCCGCCCUGCUGCUCGAUCUCUAAGGAAGACAUUUGGUUGGACUCUGGUCCAUUUAAUAAAUUCUGUCUGGGGCUGCUUUUGUUCUGAGUUGAGUCGUUUGAACAGAGCACGGCCCACAGAGACUGAAAUAACCGUUCUGUGAUGCUCUACAGAAAAAGCUUGCUAAAUCUUGCUUUAAAUUUUCCUUUUCUGCAACUUGGGUCAUCCAGGGUGUGGCUGUUCACUUUGAAAAGUGAGAAACUAAGGUCCUUUAAAGCACAUUGUUACGCUGAAGUUUAGGGAGUUUAAUCCUUCCACAAACCUGGGAAGAAAACUGAAAAUAUUUGGAAAACAAUCCUAGCGAACAUAUGGUUCUAUCUCUUCAGCUCAACUUUUUUUCUUUUUUACCACCCCCCAACAUGUUUUUCUUUUCAUGAGGUGAAAGUUAAGCGUACAAAUUUGAGGUGCACACCUUACUGGGUUUUUCUGUACCUUGCUGUCCCUGCCACACAUAGAUAACUAUUCUGACCCUCUAGUACCAUUGGGUAGUUUUGCCUGUUCAGAAACUUUAUGUAACUAGAACAUUCAUGCACUUUUUUUGCGUCUUUUGCUCGUUGUGUCAGAGUAAUAAAUGUUGUACGUAGCUGCAGUUCCUUUUUAACAUUUGUGUAUGACUCCAUUGUAUGAUUGUUACAACUUCUCCAUCCUGUUGUUGGUGGAAAUUUUGAUUAUUUCUAGUUUGUGGUCAUUAUGAAUAAAGUUGAUAUGAAAA